GUUUUCAUAUUUCAUCUUCCAGUGCUAUUUCAUGUUCUGUCUAUGAUUGAUAAUUCAGCUGAAAUUCUAAUCAGAGUUGGUGGGGUUCUUAAAAUGAUUAAAAGAUAUAUGCAAAUAUAACGUCUCUGAUUUGUCUAUAAUGGAUCGAUGGAUUUCAUUUUCAAGUAUUUUUUUAAUAUAUAUAUUUUUCCUGUGCUGGUGUACUAAACUACCAACACAUAUGCGGCGAGAAGAUCCAUAAUAAGUUGUUUAAUGGGAUUUGAUUGUAAGUGGAAUGUGAGAAAUGAUGAUUAA
This 294-nucleotide unclassified non-coding RNA is filed under the name Hevea brasiliensis (rubber tree). The record is from RNAcentral. Lineage: Eukaryota; Viridiplantae; Streptophyta; Magnoliopsida; Malpighiales; Euphorbiaceae.